GGCGCAGACACAAAGGCAAACAAUCCCAAACACAGGCUUUGCCCUCCUUGUACGUUGAGACAAAGGAAGCAGAAAUGAGCCUGGGAUCACAGUCUGCGCUGAGCAGCAUGGAGCAAACAGGGCGUCCCCUUCUCAGUGACAGAGGGACUUGGGCUGACCAACCGUCUUGGCUUCCCUGGGACUGUCCCAGCUCAGCACUGAAAAUCUCAUGCCGAUGAAAACCCCCGCAGGCCUGGGCAGAUGGGAACCUUGGUCACUCUUGCAGAAACUUGAGUCAGAAAUAAAGCAACUUCUCCCAGGCCAUGUGGAAAAGCCAUGUGUGAACCAGAGGAACAAGUACAACAGAGCCGCUGAGUACACCCCAACACAGAGGAGCCAGCGCUCACCGAGAGAUUUGCCAAGUGGAGUCCUUUUGAGACAUCCAAAUUUCACUGUCUUCAACUUAUUAAUGUGAAACAAAGAAUAACGUAUAUGUGUGUGUAAACACGAAUAGUAACAGCUUAUAUUUGUAAACAAUGUGCCGUGCGCCCAGCACUACAUUAAGCAGUCUCCAUGCAGCACCUCCAUUAAUCCUGGGGAGCACUGUACCCACUUCAAGAGGCCUUUAGAAGAGCAAGUAACAAAAACUGGUGGAAAAAAAGCACACAUUCAACAGGAAGCAACAUCUAGAGACCUUUCUGCCUUCCAGGAUACAAAAAGAAAACAGUUCAUAAACAACUUACAUCUAAACCAGUAAUGUUGUCUCCCUGGCUCAUAGGAGCUGAAGAAGAAUUCCAGUUACUGUAGUAAGAAUAUAAGGAUGUGGACUGGUUUGAGGAUGCUUGAGGCAUGACUAUAGCAAGUACUGCGCAUACAUAUGUGGACAUCGUAAGACACACUCUCUGCUUCCCCAGGCGAAAUCUGAAUUCCAUGAUCUACACACAGAUGACACCAAAAUCGGAACAGCAAUGUCCACCCUUCUCCCGAGCCCUAGGUCGGUGCCUCUGUCCACCUGUGUCUCCUGAAACUUCAACACAGACUUCAAAUGGAGUGGCAGAAAACCAGAUUCCUUAGGGAAAGGAAGGUCUCCCAGACGGCAGGAGCGGCAGGCCUUAGGGGCAGCCGCAGGGGCUCGGGAGUCUGAACAUACCCGGUUUGAAUUCAGACUCUGGCACGCCCCAUGCGAUCAUAACAUAGUGCUGCACGUCUCAAGCCACCUAUAAAAACGGGGACAAUAACAAUAUCUGCCUCGGGGUUAAUGGAUUAGAUGUGUCGGUCCAUAGACGUUGCUGGCCACAUAGUUAAGUGGUGCGUUCACUCACUGGGCAUUGAUGGAGCGCCUACUACGUGCCAGGCCUGUUUUACGCGCCGGGGGCCCAGAGGCGCCCAGGUCAGACAAAGUGUAAACGAUUCCGACCAGAGCCCUUCAAUCUGCAUUCCGCUUCGCAGGAAACUCUCCUCCUUUUAUGAUUUUCAGCCGGACUGCCUUCCCUGUUGUUAGUUUGUAACUUUCGCUCCGGCCCCCGCAGCCUCGCGCCUGCCUUCCCUCCACUGUCCUCAGCCAAGGUGUAGUAAAGCGUCUCCGAACGCGGCGCGACCCUCGCCCACGCCCGCUCGCGGGGGGA
This 1604-nucleotide long non-coding RNA is filed under the name Homo sapiens (human). RNAcentral's name for it is "HSALNT0309566". Lineage: Eukaryota; Metazoa; Chordata; Mammalia; Primates; Hominidae. The record is from RNAcentral.